UCCCCACGUCUCUUUAAUUGGAAAGAAUCUUUCCGCGCAGGCUGGUGAGGAUGAUAUUCUACUGAUGUCCAUGUGUCUGUUCUGGACUGCUACCACUGCUGUCCAACUCUUCCGUUUCCAACCUGACUGCUGACACGAUUAACCCACCAUCUCGCUGAAAUACUCCGCUCUGGAAAGUCCAGGUGCUCUGCGUGAGUUUGCCAGUCCCUUGGCUCAGCGGGUUUGAGCAUCGCUAACUGUACUCAGCUCUCUUCUGUCUGCGAGGAAACACUGGUUACUGGUCGCUGCCAAGGAACCCAUCGAGGCAGACCUGACUCCUAGAAACAUUUUCCUGCUUCCUUCUGCAUAGAAAGGCAAAUGCGCACGGGACAUUUUCCUUCAAAAAUUUAAGUGAAUCAAAGCUCGGUUCUUCUUGAACAAGGGAAGAAGAUGUCUUACAGUUUUCCGUCUUGAAGAGCAAAGCCUUCACACACCAGCCUUGACCUUGGGUCUGUGGCGGCCCUCCACCUGGUGAUGCUAUCUCCAGGCAAACAGAGGU
Molecule: long non-coding RNA, 538 nt
Organism: Arvicola amphibius (Eurasian water vole)
Lineage: Eukaryota; Metazoa; Chordata; Mammalia; Rodentia; Cricetidae
Exons: 3
Source: RefSeq, a predicted model, not a curated record